UGAGCUAUAGCUUAAUAGAUAAGCAUCUCAGUUACGUUGAGAAGAUCAUUGAAUUUUAAUGUGGCUUAA
RNAcentral lists this transfer RNA (69 nucleotides) under Halocaridina rubra (Hawaiian volcano shrimp). Its description in RNAcentral is "tRNA-Val". Lineage: Eukaryota; Metazoa; Arthropoda; Malacostraca; Decapoda; Atyidae. The record is from RNAcentral.